AGGUAAAUAAUAGUUAUUUAUCCGGAACAUAAAGGAAAUAAGAGCG
Molecule: ribosomal RNA, 46 nt
Filed under: Candidatus Phytoplasma citri
Lineage: Bacteria; Bacillati; Mycoplasmatota; Mollicutes; Acholeplasmatales; Acholeplasmataceae
Description: Candidatus Phytoplasma aurantifolia partial 23S ribosomal RNA
Source: RNAcentral